This 384-nucleotide ribosomal RNA is filed under the name Micromonas sp. Its description in RNAcentral is "partial small subunit ribosomal RNA". It matches the Rfam family "Eukaryotic small subunit ribosomal RNA", at positions 582 to 975 of the family's 1831-position model. The record is from RNAcentral. Lineage: Eukaryota; Viridiplantae; Chlorophyta; Mamiellophyceae; Mamiellales; Mamiellaceae.
AUUCCAGCUCCAAUAGCGUAUAUUUAAGUUGUUGCAGUUAAAAAGCUCGUAGUUGGAUUUCGGUUAAGAGCGACCGGUCCGCCGUUUGGUGUGCACUGGUUGGUUUUAACUUCCUGUAGAGGACGUGCUCUGGGCUUAACGGUCUGGACUCGGAGUCUACGUGGUUACUUUGAAAAAAUUAGAGUGUUCAAAGCGGGCUUACGCUUGAAUAUUUCAGCAUGGAAUAACACUAUAGGACUCCUGUCCUAUUUCGUUGGUCUCGGGACCGAUGUAAUGAUUAAUAGGAACAGUUGGGGACAUUUAUAUUCCAUGGCUAGAGGUGAAAUUCUUGGAUUCAUGGAAGAUAAACUAUUGCGAAAGCAUUUGUCAAAGAUGUUUUCAUUA